GACGAACGCUGGCGGCAUGCCUAAUACAUGCAAGUCGAGCGAACAGAUGAAGUGCUUGCGCUUCUGACGUUAGCGGCGAACGGGUGAGUAACACGUAAGGAAUCUACCUAUAAGCGGGGGAUAACAUUCGGAAACGGGUGCUAAUACCGCAUAAUAUCUUCUUCCGCAUGGAAGAAGAUUGAAAGACGGCUCUGCUGUCACUUAUAGAUGACCUUGCGGUGCAUUAGUUAGUUGGUGGGGUAAUGGCCUACCAAGACGAUGAUGCAUAGCCGACCUGAGAGGGUGAUCGGCCACAUUGGGACUGAGACACGGCCCAAACUCCUACGGGAGGUAGCAGUAGGGAAUCUUCCGCAAUGGGCGAAAGCCUGACGGAGCAAUGCCGCGUGAGUGAAGAAGGCCUUCGGGUCGUAAAACUCUGUUAUAAGAGAAGAACAAAUUGUAGAGUAACUGCUACAGUCUUGACGGUAUCUUAUCAGAAAGCCACGGCUAACUACGUGCCAGCAGCCGCCGUAA
This 513-nucleotide ribosomal RNA is filed under the name uncultured bacterium. RNAcentral describes it as "partial 16S ribosomal RNA". It matches the Rfam family "Bacterial small subunit ribosomal RNA", at positions 28 to 523 of the family's 1533-position model. The record is from RNAcentral.